This 617-nucleotide ribosomal RNA is filed under the name Fusarium oxysporum f. sp. lycopersici 4287. Its description in RNAcentral is "Fusarium oxysporum f. sp. lycopersici eukaryotic large subunit ribosomal RNA". It matches the Rfam family "Eukaryotic large subunit ribosomal RNA", at positions 24 to 664 of the family's 3401-position model. Lineage: Eukaryota; Fungi; Ascomycota; Sordariomycetes; Hypocreales; Nectriaceae. The record is from RNAcentral.
CCCGCUGAACUUAAGCAUAUCAAUAAGCGGAGGAAAAGAAACCAACAGGGAUUGCCCUAGUAACGGCGAGUGAAGCGGCAACAGCUCAAAUUUGAAAUCUGGCUCUCGGGCCCGAGUUGUAAUUUGUAGAGGAUACUUUUGAUGCGGUGCCUUCCGAGUUCCCUGGAACGGGACGCCAUAGAGGGUGAGAGCCCCGUCUGGUUGGAUGCCAAAUCUCUGUAAAGUUCCUUCAACGAGUCGAGUAGUUUGGGAAUGCUGCUCUAAAUGGGAGGUAUAUGUCUUCUAAAGCUAAAUACCGGCCAGAGACCGAUAGCGCACAAGUAGAGUGAUCGAAAGAUGAAAAGCACUUUGAAAAGAGAGUUAAAAAGUACGUGAAAUUGUUGAAAGGGAAGCGUUUAUGACCAGACUUGGGCUUGGUUAAUCAUCUGGGGUUCUCCCCAGUGCACUUUUCCAGUCCAGGCCAGCAUCAGUUUUCCCCGGGGGAUAAAGGCGGCGGGAAUGUGGCUCUCUUCGGGGAGUGUUAUAGCCCACCGUGUAAUACCCUGGGGGGGACUGAGGUUCGCGCAUCUGCAAGGAUGCUGGCGUAAUGGUCAUCAACGACCCGUCUUGAAACACGG